AUGAGGCGUGUCCUCACUGUUGAGAUCCUCGCCUCGUCCAUGGAGCGAAAGCUCUACCACCUCCGGAAAGAGGAGUACGGCCACCUUGUGAGGUACAUUAAUAAAACUUUUUGCAGCGACAUGGCAUGUCCAGGCAACAUUGUCAAUGUCCGUCAUGUAACUCAACACUUCGUUGGUAACAUGAUAAGAAGGCUUGUGUUCGGUAAAAGGUACUUCAGUGACCUACCAACUUCAUCCACUAGUGAGCCUGGACAUGAUGAGGUGGCACAUGUUGCCGCUCUCUUCACGGCCCUCAACCAUCUCUACAGCUUUUGCGUGUCCGACUACUUCCCAGCCCUCAUAGGCCUCGACCUAGAUGGCCAUGAAAAGGUUUCCAAGGAUGCCAUGCAAACACUCAACCGGUUACAUGAUCCCAUUAUAGAGGAGCGGAUCCGCGAAAGGUCAUCCAUUCUUGAGAAAUGUGGUGAAAAGAAAGAGGCGAGAGACUUUUUGGACAUCCUGGUUCAUCUAAAAGAUGCGGAGGGACAACCAUUGCUGUCCCUACAAGAAAUUAGAGCACAAACAGCGGAAAUGAUGUUUGCAGCAGUCGAUAACCCAUCUAAUGCGGUUGAGUGGGCACUUGCUGAGAUGAUGAAUGUGCCAGAGAUCAUGCAAAAAACAACUGAGGAACUCGAUACCGUUGUCGGUAAAGAUAGACUAGUCGAAGAGUCUGACAUUCCUCGGCUAAACUAUCUCAAAUCGUGCAUCCGGGAGGCCUUCCGCAUACACCCAUACCAUGCUCUUAAUGUACCCCAUGUCGCAAUGGCGGACACAACUGUUGCUGGCUACACAAUCCCCAAGGAUAGCCACAUACUUUUAAGCCGGCUUGGACUUGGCCGCAAUCCCAAGAUCUGGACUGAACCACUGGAGUUUCAGCCCGAGAGGCAUUUGAACACCGUGAAUGUACUUCUCACUGAUCCAGGCCUACGUUUCAUUUCAUUUAGCAGUGGGAGGAGGGGCUGUCCUGGGAUUUCACUUGGUACCUCUAUCACAAUGAUGUUGUUCGCAAGGCUGUUGCAGGGAUUCACUUGGACAAAGCUUCCCGGCGUUAAGAGUAUCAGUCUCCAAGAAGGCAAUACGGGCCUUGUACUAGCUGAACCCCUUGUUCUACAAGCUACACCACGGUUGGCUGCACAUCUCUAUAUAUGA
Molecule: ribosomal RNA, 1188 nt
Filed under: Triticum aestivum (bread wheat)
Lineage: Eukaryota; Viridiplantae; Streptophyta; Magnoliopsida; Poales; Poaceae
Description: partial small subunit ribosomal RNA
Source: RNAcentral